CCUACGGGUGGCAGCAGUGAGGAAUAUUGGUCAAUGGACGCAAGUCUGAACCAGCCAUGCCGCGUGCAGGAAGACGGCUCUAUGAGUUGUAAACUGCUUUUGUACGAGGGUAAACGCAGGUACGUGUAUCUGUCUGAAAGUACCGUAUGAAUAAGGAUCGGCUAACUCCGUGCCAGCAGCCGCGGUAAUACGGAGGAUUCAAGCGUUAUCCGGAUUUAUUGGGUUUAAAGGGCGCGUAGGCGGUUGGUUAAGUUAGAGGUGAAAUCCCGAGGCUCAACUUCGGAAUUGCCUUUGAUACUGUUCGGCUAGAGAGUAGUUGAGGUAGGCGGAAUGUAUGGUGUAGCGGUGAAAUGCUUAGAGAUCAUGCAGAACACCGAUUGCGAAGGCAGCUUACCAAGCUGCUACUGACGUUGAGGCUCGAAAGCGUGGGGAGCAAACAGGAUUAGAUACCCCUGUAGUC
RNAcentral lists this ribosomal RNA (460 nucleotides) under uncultured bacterium. RNAcentral describes it as "partial 16S ribosomal RNA". It matches the Rfam family "Bacterial small subunit ribosomal RNA", at positions 338 to 795 of the family's 1533-position model. The record is from RNAcentral.